GGCUCGGUGGCAGCGGGGAAGCCGGGGGGGGGGCGGGACGUGUCGCGCCGCCGCUCCCGGGGCGGUCCCGCCGCCGCCGCCGCUCUCCGGUGGGGCGGGGCAGCGCCGGGCGCCCCGGCGGCGGCGGCGGCGGCGGUGGCGGUGGCGGUGGCGGUGGUGGUGCCGGUGUCCCCGCCAUGCCCAAGCUGCUGCCGGCGCAGGAGGCGGCGCGGAUCUAUCACACCAACUACGUGCGGAACGCGCGGGCCAUGGGGGUGCUCUGGGCCCUCUUCACCCUCUGCUUCUCCAUCCUGAUGGUGGUGACCUUCAUCCAGCCCUACUGGAUCGGCGACAGCAUCGACACGCCGCAGGCCGGCUACUUCGGCCUCUUCUCCUACUGCGUCGGCAACGCGCUCACCGGCGAGCUCAUCUGCAAGGGCAGCCCCCUCGACUUCGGCACCAUCCCCUCCAGCGCCUUCAAGACCGCCAUGUUCUUCGUCGGCAUCUCCACCUUCCUCAUCAUCGGCUCCAUCCUCUGCUUCAGCCUCUUCUUCUUCUGCAACGCAGCCACCGUCUAUAAAGUCUGCGCCUGGAUGCAGCUGGCGGCAGCGACCGGGCUGAUGAUCGGGUGCCUGAUCUACCCCGACGGCUGGGACUCGAGGGAGGUGAAGCGCAUGUGCGGGGACAAGACGGACAAGUACACGCUGGGCGCCUGCACCGUGCGCUGGGCGUACAUCCUCUGCAUCAUCGGCAUCCUCGACGCCCUCAUCCUCUCCUUCCUGGCCUUCGUGUUGGGGAACCGGCAGGACAACCUCCUCCCGUCUGAUUUUAAAGUGGAAAAUAAAGAAGAGGGCAAUGACUGAGGGAGCCGCUCGCCACGAACACCUACAGCUCUUCUUCCAUCGGCCCUUUUCCUUAAAGUGACUUUUCCAAUAGCUUUAAACUUACCGACUUCUGGAUUUUCUACAACUCUCCUGUUGGCCGAAGGGGCCGUCGUCGGCUCCCAGCUCUCCGGGAGGUUAUUUGAUGGGAAAAGCCCAAACCGGACCCAGAUCACGAUACCAGCAACAGCAUCUUCACCUACACCAUCUCCCCGCAUCUCGUUCAGGAAAUAAAAACAAAGUGCUCACUAAUAAGAAAAUUCGAAUAGAUGGGCCACAGGCUCAAAAAGAACAGACUUACAGAGGGAACAUAGGAGGAGUAGGGCUCAGUUAUUAAAUAAUCUGUUUAUUGUACGGCUUUCACAAAGGAAAAAAGACAAAGCACCCAAGUAGAAAGAAUAAAAAUGUAUUUUCCUUCA
Chroicocephalus ridibundus (black-headed gull) is the source of this 1279-nucleotide RNA transcript. It is a transcript of the gene named LHFPL tetraspan subfamily member 5, with no coding region annotated. NCBI's taxonomy places the organism in Eukaryota, Metazoa, Chordata, Aves, Charadriiformes, Laridae. The transcript has 5 exons. The record is from RefSeq and is a predicted model, not a curated record.